This is a long non-coding RNA of Salvia splendens (bonfire salvia), 2039 nucleotides long. RefSeq lists it as uncharacterized. The record is from RefSeq and is a predicted model, not a curated record. Lineage: Eukaryota; Viridiplantae; Streptophyta; Magnoliopsida; Lamiales; Lamiaceae. The transcript has 2 exons.
AAGAGGUGGUUUAGUUAGUGAGCGUGAAAUAAACUGUUUACAUUGAAAAUCAGAACUUCUGCCCUUUUACCUUCUCUCUCUCACUAUAUCCCCUCGGAGAAAUGAAUCCCAUCGCCGAAGAGAAAAUCUGUAGAAAGGUUGAGCGGUGAUGACGAUGGCGGUGUUGAGCAGAGACGACAUAUGUUCUUUCAUAGUGAUUUGGAUGCAUCGUAUCUCCAUACAUGAUGAUAUUCGCUCUUGGAUGCUUCCGCUAAAAUAGUAUUUCUUUGAGUUUAUGUAAUUGUCGAGAUGAUACUCUGAUUUUAUUCACGUUAUUUCUACGAUUUCGAGCCAAGUCCAAUUAUACAGUUGUUUUUCCCCUUCUUCCCCGCUUCUUUAAUCUCCACUAGUUGCGAUCAACCGUUCUUUCUAUCCUUAGAAAGGGCGGGCGUGACACUGUUCUAAUCAAUGCUUUGAAAUCUGUGUUGUGCUUGUGCAUACGCAUGGACCGGGUACCGAAAAAGUGGAAGGAGAUUGAAAAUUUCUUGAUUGUCGUUGAAGAUUUGUUCCGUCACCAGCAGCAACAAUGUUUUAUUUUACUGGCUGAGUAUUUUAGUCGGAGGAGGGCUAGUGAUGAGGGUGAGGAGACAACCAUGGUUACUGUCCAAGAUUCCGGAGUAAAUUCGACAUAUUCGACAUAUGGAUAGGAUCGUUCCUCUAACUAACACGGACUGUGUGAACAACCUCCGAAUGGAUCGUAACUAUUGGGGACGACUGCACUGGAUUCUACGUGAGUGCAUGGGUCUGGUCGAUCAGAAAUAUGUCAGCAUUGAGGAACAAGUGUGUUGAGCCUCAUCGCUCAUCACAAAAAGAAUCGGGUUGUUGGGUUUGAUUUUAUGCGAUCCAGCCAGACUGUUUCGCGAUAUAUUCAUGGGGUGUUUAGAGGGAUGAUUGGACUUCACGAAGUUUUGAUGGCUAAACCCACGCAUGUGGACGACAGAUGUGAUGAUCCCCGUUGGAAUUGGUUCAAGGUAGUCUCAACAACAAUGUUACUGAACAUAUUUGCCACAAAUAAAUGUAUGAACUAAGUGUAAACCCACUUGGCUAUUUCUACUAAGGUUGUCUAGGAGCAUUGGAUGAGACAUAUAUGAACGUCUGUGUGAGUGUUGGGGAUGCACCAUGGUAUAGAACACGAAAGGGCCACACUGCUACGAAUACUUUGGCAAUCUGUGAUCGGUUUCUAUGAUUUGUCUACGUCGUUACAGGGUCGGAGGGAUCAACUGGUGAAUCUCAUGUUCUACGCAAUGCUGUCAUGGGAAGUUGACAGUCUAAGAAUCCCUAAUGGUAAGAGAGCUUUGUUGCAAUGCGGUCACAGUGCUUAAAAAUUGAAGUAAAUGCAAAAUAUGGUCUUGCUAGUCAUGCUGUCAGCCUCUAACAAUUGUUGUGUAUUUCUAUUUUUUUACAUGAAUACUUUAUGAAGUAGCACUUGCAUAUAUUUUGUAUGAACCGAUUUUUGUUAGUAACUAUUAUAUCUCAUCUUUGUAAGUGCAAGAUCUCAUUACUUGUGUGAUAAUGGAUAUGCAAACAUAGAAGGAUUUCUCACACCAUUUAAGGGUGUGCGGUAUCACUUGAAGGAGUGGGACCUGCUGCACAAAAGCCCCAAAAUCCUCUAGAAAUGUUUAACAUGAAGCACACCAUUGCACGGAAUAUCAUCGAACAUGCUUUUUCGCUAUUGAAGAUGAGAUGGGGAAUAUUACGUAGUGCCCGCUUCUACCCGAUCACAACACAGAUGCGCCUAAUAAUGACAUGCUUCAUUCUGCAUAAUUUCAUUGGGAGUCAAAUGCAAGUUGAUCCUGUGGAGCUUCACGACCUUGAUGAUGCAAAUGAGGACAUUUCAGCCGGUGCAGAAAGAGAUGGCGUUCAGUACGUGGAAUAAUGUAUAGCUUGAAAAAUAGUUUAUGACAUUUCCGACUUGUUUAAUUUGUUUUAGCUUCAAACUAUUAGUAUCUGGGCUGCUUAAGUGCUUUAAUUUUAUUAGUUUUAUUAUUGACUUUGAUGAA